UGUGUGUUAGUGGAAGCGUCUGGAAAGGCGCGCGAUACAGGGUGACAGCCCCGUACACAAAAAUGCACAUAUUGUGAGCUCGAUGAGUAGGGCGGGACACGUGGUAUCCUGUCUGAAUAUGGGGGGACCAUCCUCCAAGGCUAAAUACUCCUGACUGACCGAUAGUGAACCAGUACCGUGAGGGAAAGGCGAAAAGAACCCCGGCGAGGGGAGUGAAAAAGAACCUGAAACCGUGUACGUACAAGCAGUGGGAGCACGCUUAGGCGUGUGACUGCGUACCUUUUGUAUAAUGGGUCAGCGACUUAUAUUCUGUAGCAAGGUUAACCGAAUAGGGGAGCCGAAGGGAAACCGAGUCUUAACUGGGCGUUAAGUUGCAGGGUAUAGACCCGAAACCCGGUGAUCUAGCCAUGGGCAGGUUGAAGGUUGGGUAACACUAACUGGAGGACCGAACCGACUAAUGUUGAAAAAUUAGCGGAUGACUUGUGGCUGGGGGUGAAAGGCCAAUCAAACCGGGAGAUAGCUGGUUCUCCCCGAAAGCUAUUUAGGUAGCGCCUCGUGAAUUCAUCUCCGGGGGUAGAGCACUGUUUCGGCAAGGGGGUCAUCCCGACUUACCAACCCGAUGCAAACUGCGAAUACCGGAGAAUGUUAUCACGGGAGACACACGGCGGGUGCUAACGUCCGUCGUGAAGAGGGAAACAACCCAGACCGCCAGCUAAGGUCCCAAAGUCAUGGUUAAGUGGGAAACGAUGUGGGAAGGCCCAGACAGCCAGGAUGUUGGCUUAGAAGCAGCCAUCAUUUAAAGAAAGCGUAAUAGCUCACUGGUCGAGUCGGCCUGCGCGGAAGAUGUAACGGGGCUAAACCAUGCAC
This 867-nucleotide ribosomal RNA is filed under the name Escherichia coli. Its description in RNAcentral is "partial 23S ribosomal RNA". It matches the Rfam family "Bacterial large subunit ribosomal RNA", at positions 323 to 1194 of the family's 2925-position model. Lineage: Bacteria; Pseudomonadati; Pseudomonadota; Gammaproteobacteria; Enterobacterales; Enterobacteriaceae. The record is from RNAcentral.